This 1834-nucleotide long non-coding RNA is filed under the name Mytilus galloprovincialis (Mediterranean mussel). The record is from RNAcentral. Lineage: Eukaryota; Metazoa; Mollusca; Bivalvia; Mytilida; Mytilidae.
AGGUAUUGUGUAUUCUGAACAUGCUAGUAGCUGUCACUGUGCUGCGUUUGUUGAUCCAGUUUGCUCUACAACUAAUGUGACUCAUAAUAACGAAGGUUGCAUGAUGUGCACGUAAGUUUCUUAACAAAACAGAAAAAAAUACUAAUCCUUAACAUUUUUUAUUAGAUAAGAAUUAACACGAACCCCGUGGUUAGAGCAACGUAUAUUUUAAUGCAUGCAAGUGAUAAUUGAAUGCUACAUGAUUGUUGGUAAUUAUUGAAUACAGUACUACGCUGGUGAUAAUUGAACAUUGAAUAAAGAAAUUUCUCUUAAAAGUAAUAUACAAAUAUAUAUAAAUCUAGACAUCAAUGUUGAAUGGAACAUUGGAUCGAUCUAGUUAAGAUCAUAGAAAUCUGGUUGUCAACAACAUUAUACAUUCACGCAACUUCAUAGAAAAAGUUGCACAGCUUUAGCCGCAAAGGGAUCUCAUAUUGGAAAUUACAUUGUCUAUUUAUACAGAAUUGCAACCUAUAAACUGAAUCACUUUAAUACUAGUAACUGAAUAUUGCAUGCUUCUGAUAAGGAUCAUGCCUAAUAAUUGGUGUUCCCUGUCGGGGAACACGGUUUCGCUAAUGUGAUUUAAUAAGGGCUGUUUUCGUAACCUUGAUUUGUCUCUACCUUCAUUUCAUUUAUGAGAUUUGAAGAUUGCAUGGUUGAUUACUAUUGCUGAAAAUUCAAAACGUUUAUGAACGCUAAAUCAAACGCAAGUCAUUUUAUGGCAAAUUUUACUCAGCAAUAAAAUCUAUUUUAACAUGAGUUAAAAAUAAAUACCUCCCACCCCCACCACAACAAUAUCAUCUUUAAUAUUAGUAUCAUAAGCCCUCUUUCCAUCUUCAUUCAAAACAUUUUCCGAAAAAAUUUGCUUACUAUUCAAACGCUAAUAUUCGCGACUGGCUGCUUUCCGGCAAACCAUUUUAAGAUUGACAAAUAUGUUUGGAUGGUCACAUUGAUAAUGAAAUAAGAAAUAUCACUAAUAAAUAUUUUAUUGUUUAUCUGUUGUUUAUGGGUUAAAAAAACAUGCGCAUUAUUAUGCCAUGUUUGUGCAUUACUCUGUUUGUAAAUACAACUUAUAAAACAUAAGGUACUAUAUAUAUCGCAGAGUUUAUUUUAAGCUGGUUCAUUAAAAUUGAGAAGGAAAUGGGGAAUGUGUCAAAGUGACAACAACCCGACAAAGAGUUAACACAGCCGAAGUCCACCAAUGGGUCUUCAACACAUCAAGAAUAUAUCGCGGCCUGAAGCAGACUUUAGCUGGCCCUAAACAAAAAUGUGUAUUUGUUCAGUGAAAAUGCCGUGAUACUUUAAAACUUGUAAAACAUAUAAAUGAACCAAUGUUUUUAAAAAAAUAAAGAUAAGACUUACAUUGUCUCUCUCUUUGUAGUUGUUACAUGUUUCAUAUCACAUAACAAUUCAUAAACCUAUUGAACGUACUGCUGCAGUCACUAAUCUUUUGAAAAAAAUCAAACUGCUGAGGUUAAUAUCAGUGCAUAACUACGUUAUGUUCUCAGUAUUAUUACAAUUUAACGUAAAAAUAAAUUUGAAUCGGAAUCGUUAGAGAAAGGAUUUGUAGUAUCAUUAUCUAAAGACAACAAUGUAUGUUAUAAAAAUCAACAGUAUUUUUUUUCAAAACAUUUUCAAUGACCGUUUGGGAAGAACGAUAUCCAUAACAGAAGUGGAACAGUUAUAUUUGUUAUUUCAGUCACCAAGUUUUAGAUUGCCGUCGUGCUUGUCCAUGUGUGGGUGGACCACCAACAACAGUAAGUUUAAAUAAUUAUCGUGAAAUAUGUAUUAAAAUAAA